Molecule: ribosomal RNA, 404 nt
Filed under: uncultured Candidatus Saccharibacteria bacterium
Lineage: Bacteria; Candidatus Saccharimonadota
Description: partial 16S ribosomal RNA
Rfam family: Bacterial small subunit ribosomal RNA
Source: RNAcentral
UAAGGAAUCUUCCACAAUGGGCGAAAGCCUGAUGGAGCAACGCCGCGUGCAGGAUGAAGGCCUUCGGGUUGUAAACUGCUUUUAUAAGUGAAGAAUAUGACGGUAACUUAUGAAUAAGCACCGGCUAACUACGUGCCAGCAGCCGCGGUCAUACGUAGGGUGCAAGCAUUAUCCGGAGUGACUGGGCGUAAAGAGUUGCGUAGGUGGUCUGUUAAGCGAAUAGUGAAAUCUGGUGGCUCAACCACACAGACUAUUAUUCGAACUGGCAGACUCGAGAGUAGCAGAGGUAACUGGAAUUUCUAGUGUAGGAGUGAAAUCCGUAGAUAUUAGAAGGAACACCAAUGGCGUAGGCAGGUUACUAGGCUAUUUCUGACACUGAGGCACGAAAGCGUGGGGAGCGAACC